Molecule: ribosomal RNA, 253 nt
Filed under: uncultured bacterium
Lineage: Bacteria
Description: partial 16S ribosomal RNA
Rfam family: Bacterial small subunit ribosomal RNA
Source: RNAcentral
UACAGAGGUCUCAAGCGUUGUUCGGAAUUACUGGGCGUAAAGGGUGCGCAGGCCGCGCGGGCAGUCAAAUGUGUAAUCCAGGGGCUCAACCCCUGAACUGCGCUUGAUACUUCCGCGCUCGAGCUUUGGGGAGGAGUCUGGAAUUCUCGGUGUAGCAGUGAAAUGCGUGGAUAUCGAGAAGAACACUUAGGGCGUAGGCAGGUCUCUGGGCCACUACUGACGCUGAGAAGCGAAAGCAUGGGGAGCGAACAGG